CGCAGAACAAAUUAUUUUGCCUCGUGUUGUGAUGAAUUCAUCCUCCGUUAAACCUAAUUGUGUGUAAUUUUCUGUUGUAACGUAUCUUUUCUCUUUUUCAGAUGAUACUAUUUUGAAGCAGAAGAUGCAUGGAUCGUCUUUUGGUCGUACACGCUCCAUUUUUAAGCUAGAAAUAAAUAUUUGAAAUUCGUAUAAAUCAUGCUCUGUUGAAAUAAACUCGAAACAAUAUUUUGUAUUAUUAUGGAAAAACGAUUAUAUAGAUACAAGUCAUAAAUUUAUAUAGAUGUAUUUUAAAAUUGCAAUUUGUAAAAAUAAAAAAUCC
Non-coding RNA from Paramuricea clavata, 322 nucleotides. The record is from the annotation of a GenBank genome assembly. NCBI's taxonomy places the organism in Eukaryota, Metazoa, Cnidaria, Anthozoa, Malacalcyonacea, Plexauridae.